GCGCUCGUAGCCUAGGGGAUCAGGCAACAAACUUCUAAUUUGUCUUACGUAGGUUCAAGUCCUACCGGGCGCA
RNAcentral lists this transfer RNA (73 nucleotides) under Gloeobacterales cyanobacterium ES-bin-313. It matches the Rfam family "tRNA". Rfam says of the family: Transfer RNA (tRNA) molecules are approximately 80 nucleotides in length. Their secondary structure includes four short double-helical elements and three loops (D, anti-codon, and T loops). The record is from Rfam by way of RNAcentral. Lineage: Bacteria; Bacillati; Cyanobacteriota; Cyanophyceae; Gloeobacterales.